RNAcentral lists this ribosomal RNA (253 nucleotides) under uncultured prokaryote. RNAcentral's name for it is "partial 16S ribosomal RNA". It matches the Rfam family "Bacterial small subunit ribosomal RNA", at positions 524 to 776 of the family's 1533-position model. The record is from RNAcentral.
UACAGAGGUCCCAAGCGUUGUUCGGAUUCACUGGGCGUAAAGGGUGCGUAGGUGGUCGGGUAAAUUUGAUGUGAAAUCUCUGGGCUUAACCCGGAAACUGCAUUGAAUACUAUUCGGCUAGAGGGUUGGAGGGGGGACUGGAAUACUUGGUGUAGCAGUGAAAUGCGUAGAUAUCAAGUGGAACACCAGUGGCGAAGGCGAGUCUCUGGACGACUCCUGACACUGAGGCACGAAAGCUGGGGGAGCAAACAGG